Molecule: long non-coding RNA, 2158 nt
Filed under: Homo sapiens (human)
Lineage: Eukaryota; Metazoa; Chordata; Mammalia; Primates; Hominidae
Description: non-protein coding ST3GAL5-AS1:6
Source: RNAcentral
AUUCAGGAAGGAAACAAAGCUUAAGGCAGUGAUUGAUAGGUUAUUUCUUGGACACAGCUGAACGUAUACUGUGCGCCUGCAACUUUCCGGUGGUUUCGGACCGGACUUCAGUGAAGCCAGUGAAGUCGGUCGACUUGCAGAACUUCCUUUCAGAGGGGCGUACACAGCACCGCGGCCGUGUGCCUGUGAUCUCCUUCUGAGUUUGAAAAAGAAGAUCCUAGACACCGAGCCAAAUAUGUUUGCAUAAACCGGGAGACUUGUGGCUCUAUUUUGUAACAGCUUGGCGCAGGGCAGCUGGUUUGGAGAUGUCUCUGUUCUUCCCUUGGUGGGGGUGCCGGAAAAAAUGUGCUGCCUGGGCGAUCGAGGUUGGGGCAAAAGCGUUGCAAAGGAAAAGGUGGGAGGACUCUACUUUCACAUUUCCCAAAAGAGUUUUACCAUAAGACUAUUUCUGGAUUGUUCUAACGUGAGGAUAUUGGGAGCAUUUUGAAAAUACUGGAGGAAAAGCUGUCACUGGGCGAUUUAAAUCCGUAGAGGCUAGGAAUGCCUAGCUUUCAGGAAAUGCAGCCUAGCAAGUCCCAGCCUCAUUUUUCUAGCCCUCACUCAAAAUGGAGGCGCUCUGGUUUGAACACUUCUGACACAUGUGCUUGAUGCAACACUCUUUACCUCUCUUUGUCUCCCCUGUCCUUCCCCUUCUCUUCCAGAUUCCCCUUGUCGGCAAAGCCAGGCGCUGAUAGCGUUAUGGCUGCCAUGAGAGUCAGCAGUAUCCCAGCUUCCAAGGAUGGGUGUAAGGUGGGGGUGAGGAAGAAAAGGAACUUGAAGCUGCCUCCUGUCCCAGAAUCACAAGACAUCUGUUAAGCCCUUACUACCUCAUUCACUCCACUCACAUUAGGUUGACCCACUUGGGCAGCAAGACAAGCAGGCCUGCAAACUUCCUUUUCUUCAUCAGCCACAGAGACAUCCUCAGCUAUUAUUCUGGAUUAAGGCAGAGAUCUCCAAACAGCAGACUAAGAUCAGCCUCUAGAUCUCAAAGCCUUACUGUUAUCUCUCCAAGUCAGUGGCUGAUCUCAGAGAAGCUUCUGAAUAGUGACUAGCAAAGAGUCACUCAGGCUACUUACAAAUCCAGGACAGCAGCGUUUUUUUUUUUUUCUUUUUUAGAGACAGAUUCACUCUGUCAUCCAAGCUGGAGUGCAGUGGCACGAUCUUGGCUCACUGCAACCUCCACCUCCUGGGCUCAAGCAAUCCUCCUACCUCAGCCUCCCAAGUAGCUGGAACUACAGGUACCCAACACCAUGCCAGGCUAAUUUCUAAUUUUUUGUAGAGACAGCAGUCUCCCUCUGUUGCCCAGGCUGGCCUCAAACUCCUAGGCUCAAGUGUUCCUCCUGCCUGGGCCUCCCAAACACUUUGGGAAGCCGAGGUGGGCAGAUUACUUGAGGUCAGGAGUUUGAGACCAGCCUGGACAACAUGGUGAAACCCUGUCUCUGCUAAAAGUACAAAAAAUUAGCUGGGCAUGGUGGCAUGUGCCUGUAAUCCCAGCUACUCAGGAGGCUGAGGCAGGAAAAUUGCUUGAACCCAGGAGGCAGAGGUUGCAGUGAGCCGAGAUCACGCUAGUGCACUCUAGCCUGGGUGACAGAGCGAAACUCUGUCUAAAAAAAAGAAGUUAUUUUUUAUCAAUAUAUAUUAACAUGCAAUGGAUUUAUUAUUAUUAUUAUUUUAUUUAUUUAUUUUUUACUUGAGACAGAGUCUUGCUCUGCCACCCAGGCUGGAGUGCAAUGGUACAAUCAUGGCUCACUGCAACCUCCACCUCCCAGGUUCAGGUGAUUCUCCUGCCUUAGCCUCCAGAAGUAGCUGGGAUUACAGGCACGUACCACCAUGCCCAGCUAAUAUUUGUAUUUUUAGUACAGAUGGGGUUUCACCAUGUUGGCCAGGCUGGUCAAGAACUCCGGACCUCAGGUGAUCCACCCUCCUCAGCCUCCCAAAGUGCUGGGAUUAUAGGUGUGAACCACAAUGCCCAGCCAGAUUUAUUAUUUUAAUGACUUAAUAAAUAUUUUAAAAUUUAAAUAUUUAAAUUAAAUUAAAUAUUUAAAAAUUUCUCAGUUUUAAUUUUUAAUUUGGCAAAUAUCAAGAGAAAGACCAUGUCAAAAAGAUUCUUUGGGAUCCU